GCACACGCCCCCCCCAACCCCCUUCACUCCCUUUCCCUCAGGUCGCCUUCCCCGGGGUUGGGUGGUGGUGGUAUUGCGCUCCCCGCCCUAGAGAGCCCUGCCUCUCUCUUUUUCCCCUCCUCCUCCUCCUCCCCACACAAAACAACGCGCUCGAGCUGGAGCUCGCUCCGGACUAGUGGGGGAAAGCCGAGCGAAGAUGUCGGAGCGAGCGGGCAGAGGCGGGGUGUGGAUGGGUGGGCGGGCAGCUUCGGCUGAAAGGCGCUUUCUCUGUAAGAGAAGGGCUGGGAGGCCUCGGCGGCGGAGGGAUACGGCGCGCGCGGAGGCGGGAGGAGCGAUGGAAGGGGGGGUUGUGCGCGAGAGCGCGAGAGGCCCUUUGGCGGCGGUGGCGCUGGAAGUUGCUCAGUUUCAAUGUAGCCGAACUAGGAACCGAAUGAGGCAAAAAAAAAAUGCCCCCAGGGACCGCAGGCCCCACUGGGCGAGGCGGGCGUGAGAGGCUCCUCUCGGCCCUCGCCGUGCCAGGGCCUACUGGGGGAGGGGGGUGAGCAGGUCGGGCCCGUCCUCUCCAGGCUUUCUCUCUUCUUCCACAUGCCUCCUUGUCGCCUUUAAAUGCUACAGAUUCCCAUCUGCUUCUUUUCCUUUGUUAUUGACUCUCUCCCUCUGGCUUAAAGAGGAGCAUGAAAUGACUUCCUGGUGUUAUUAAAAGGUGCAAUGUCAACAUUUGCGUUUGCCCUGGUUUAUUACUUAGAUAGUGGGAGACUGCGGGUUAAGACAGCAAUAUUAUUAUGAAAGCAGACAAGUGAAAAGGGUGAAAAUGGAUGCAACCUAUGGCUGGACUUGAGUUGCAGCUUUGAACUAAAAUAAGGUAUGUAGUUUUCAAGUAAAUAAUCAAGUAAAUAAUAUGUUGUAUUAAUUAUUUUAUGAGUCAAGUUAUUAAGGCCCCAGCUCACAAAAGAGGCUGCAUAUAUGCUUAUUUCAGCACAAAACUGGAACUGUAGUAAGACUGCAAUCCUACACCAACUUACCCCGAAAUAAGCCCUACUAUCGGUGGGUCUUCCUUCUGAGUAAACUUGAAUAUGAUUGCAUUGCAAGAGCAAUUGCUACAGUAGUCUUUUGCAUCAUAUCACAAAAAAAGAAACCGUAUAUCUGGAAAAUGUAUGAAGGUAUGAUUUGCAGCAAGUCCCACACUGCUUUUAGUUAUUUAUGGAAUUAGAAAAAUUGAUAUCUAGAAGGUACACAUGUCAUCCUGAGAUGAGUAACAGAUUAAUACAGGAUUAAUAUUAAGUUAGAACUGAAGUGAUUUUGUACUACAAGCUUUUCUGUUUUAGCAUCUUCACCAUUUCAUUUUCCUACUAUUUUUGUGGCCCCCAUUUGAACCUGAUACUUUUAUUUUACAUUAUAGAAUUGCAUGAAGGUUUUAAUUUAAUCAAUCUUUUAAUAAAGUACUAUAUUUUUCAGUUACUCUGGAGCCUUAUAUUUAAGAUGUAGAAUGUGAAUAAAGGCCUUAAUAGGCACUGCUAAUAAGAUUUGCAAGUUUAUCCUGCUCUUUUUAUGGUUGCUUAUAUGUGU
Molecule: long non-coding RNA, 1566 nt
Organism: Podarcis raffonei (Aeolian wall lizard)
Lineage: Eukaryota; Metazoa; Chordata; Lepidosauria; Squamata; Lacertidae
Exons: 3
Source: RefSeq, a predicted model, not a curated record